GCACCUGUAGUUCAAAGGGUAGAACGUUCGCUUCAAAGUGCGAAUAUCCAGGUUCGAAUCCUGGCUGGUGCG
This is a non-coding RNA of Bombyx mori (domestic silkworm), 72 nucleotides long. Lineage: Eukaryota; Metazoa; Arthropoda; Insecta; Lepidoptera; Bombycidae. The record is from Rfam.